ACUGGAGUUUGGUGGUGUGUUGCUAAGAGUUGAAUGACCAGAGAAGAAGGGAGACUCCUUCCCCAGCAUCAAGGACUGAGGGUAACCCUACCCAAGGGGAAAGAGGGCUGAUAAUUGGCAAUGCUCAAAGUUGCUCAAGCAAUCAAAACACAACAUGGAAAACUCAGCCUUCCAGAUGAAAUUCAACCCAUGCUGAGGUUCCCAGGGUCUCUGGGGGAGCAGGCUCCAAGAAUGGCUAAUCUGAUGGUGGAGCUUUUGGAGGGGCAGGAGACCAAGUGGGGACCAUGGGUCAGAGGAUGGG
Long non-coding RNA from Dermochelys coriacea (leatherback sea turtle), 301 nucleotides. RefSeq lists it as uncharacterized. Lineage: Eukaryota; Metazoa; Chordata; Testudines; Dermochelyidae. The record is from RefSeq and is a predicted model, not a curated record. The transcript is spliced from 3 exons.